AGUAGUUGACUCCGUCGGCUCGAGGACGACGCUGGCGGCGUGCUUAACACAUGCAAGUCGAACGGAAAGGCCCUGCUUUUGUGGGGUGCUCGGAGUGGCGAACGGGUGAGUAACACGUGAGUAACCUGCCCUUGACUUUGGGAUAACUUCAGGAAACUGGGGCUAAUACCGGAUAGGAGCUCCUGCUGCAUGGUGGGGGUUGGAAAGUUUCGGCGGUUGGGGAUGGACUCGCGGCUUAUCAGCUUGUUGGUGGGGUAGUGGCUUACCAAGGCUUUGACGGGUAGCCGGCCUGAGAGGGUGACCGGCCACAUUGGGACUGAGAUACGGCCCAGACUCCUACGGGAGGCAGCAGUGGGGAAUAUUGCACAAUGGGCGGAAGCCCGAUGCAGCAACGCCGCGUGCGGGAUGACGGCCUUCGGGUUGUAAACCGCUUUCGCCUGUGACGAAGCGUGAGUGACGGUAAUGGGUAAAGAAGCACCGGCUAACUACGUG
This 492-nucleotide ribosomal RNA is filed under the name uncultured bacterium. RNAcentral describes it as "bacterial SSU rRNA". It matches the Rfam family "Bacterial small subunit ribosomal RNA", at positions 33 to 507 of the family's 1533-position model. The record is from RNAcentral.